This 906-nucleotide long non-coding RNA is filed under the name Equus asinus (donkey). RNAcentral describes it as "lncRNA (ENSEASG00005031928.1)". Lineage: Eukaryota; Metazoa; Chordata; Mammalia; Perissodactyla; Equidae. The record is from RNAcentral.
AGGUGGGCCCAAUGUACUCACUGGGUCUUUAGAAAGGAAAGAGGCUGUGGGAGAGUCAGAGAUAGAGACAUCGUGAUGGAAGUAAAGGUCGGAGUGAGGUGCUGGCUGGUUUUGAAGCUGGAGGAAGAGGCCAUUUGACAAGAAAUCUGGGCAGCCUCUAGAAACUGGAAAAAGCAAGAAAGCAGAUUCUCCUCUAGAGCUUCCAGAAGGGAAGACAGGCGGGAAGACAUCAUGGUUUUAGCCCAACGAGAUCCAACUGGACUUCUGACCUCCAGAACUGCCAUUUGAACAAGGAAUAAAGAACAGAGCCAUCUUUGCUUCAUGGAAGAUCAGUUAUCUUAGAGAAGUGUACUAUGAACGGAGUAACUCCUAUUUUUUUCCUAUUAUCCACUCAUUGAAAAUCAAUUUUAUAUCCUUGGAGGAAUUAUCCAGCAAUUUGACAAGACGUAUCCAAAUCGUGACUGGUCAUCUCCAAUAUCCCGCCAGAUCUAUCAUGCAUUAUUCUCACUGUUCAAUGGAUUGCUGCUGUGGCUGCCAGGCCUGCCUGAUGGAUCUCAGAAUAACCAGGUCAGAAUGGCCUGCGCUGGUUGUGUAGUCACUUGUUCCAUGAUCAGAUGUUCAGCCCUAAUAGAGACCAAAGCAACUGCUGUUUUUAAAAUGAUGAGCGGCUCUCCACCAGAGAAGGCAAGAUCUGGCUUCAGUUCCUGAGAAGUCUGCUCUGGGCCUCUCCUUUUUGGCCCCCUACAGAUACCACACAGUACUUUAUCCACUCAGAUACCUCUAGCAGUGUCAGAUCAGUGGAGUCAUGUAGCCUGAGUGGAAAGGCGGCUUGCACUGCAGCCUUGAAAUGCUGCAGAACAUUUACUUGCCCAGGGACUUCUGAAUCACCUGACAAAUUCAUUGGAA